GAAGUCGAUAACUGGGAGUGCAGCUCUGACAGUUUGAAAGGUCAAGCUCCUGAAUGGAUUUUCCCCAGUAUUUCUCCUUGUAGCGGUCCUUUUCCUUACCUCCAUCAAUUUCACGCUUCUGUUCUUUGUCUUUCUCCUCCUCCUUCACUGACUUAGAUGUAUGCCCUUCAUUCCACAAAGAUUUUUUGCUCAUAACACCUGCAAGAAAUCCAUCAAUUCGUUCGCAGCGCUCCAAAAAUUCGUUGAAU
Molecule: unclassified non-coding RNA, 248 nt
Filed under: Hevea brasiliensis (rubber tree)
Lineage: Eukaryota; Viridiplantae; Streptophyta; Magnoliopsida; Malpighiales; Euphorbiaceae
Source: RNAcentral